RNAcentral lists this long non-coding RNA (442 nucleotides) under Rosa chinensis. RNAcentral's name for it is "sRNA RchiOBHm_Chr7g0193961". The record is from RNAcentral. Lineage: Eukaryota; Viridiplantae; Streptophyta; Magnoliopsida; Rosales; Rosaceae.
CUUCUUUUCUCUUUCUCCCUGCUUUCUUUCUUAUUUCUUUCUACCCAGUUCGACCCUCUCUCUACGGUGUACUAUUCAUCAUCUUCCUCCUCCAUUCUCCUUCAUCUUUCACUCAACUUCAAGCCAAAAACUUGGGUUUUUGUGGGAUUUUCGGGUUUCUCUCUAGAUUUCUAGGUGUUCUUGAGUCUUUGGUGAAGCUUUUGAGCUUUCUCCAAGAGCAUGUUGGAAUCCAUGCUUUAAUAAUAAAAUGACUAUUUGAGGCUUGAAAUGCGGAGAUUUGAAGCAAGGAAAAGAAGACACGGAGAUUGGAAGAAAAUUACAAAUCGGCAUUUCCGGCGACUUUUCCAGUGAACUUUUCCUCGAGCCGCCACUCAUGGAGGAUCAUUUCUCCAGCAAUGGAGGAGCAUAAUUGUGUGAAUCUCUCACUUGAAAUUCAGAUAUU